AGGGGUGUGCAAACUUUUUGGCCUGAGGGCCACAUCAGGGAAUAGAAAUUGUAUAGUGGCCAUAAAUGCUCACAAAAUCGGGGUUGGGGUUUGGGAGAGAUUGAGA
This is a non-coding RNA of Chelonoidis abingdonii (Abingdon island giant tortoise), 106 nucleotides long. NCBI's taxonomy places the organism in Eukaryota, Metazoa, Chordata, Testudines, Testudinidae. The record is from RefSeq and is a predicted model, not a curated record.